Molecule: ribosomal RNA, 301 nt
Filed under: uncultured bacterium
Lineage: Bacteria
Description: partial 16S ribosomal RNA
Rfam family: Bacterial small subunit ribosomal RNA
Source: RNAcentral
CAGCAGCCGCGGUAAUACGGAGGAUGCAAGCGUUAUCCGGAUUCAUUGGGCGUAAAGGGUCCUGAGGUGGCCUGCUUAGUCUACUGUGAAAGCUCAGGGCUUAACCCUGACAAUGCGGUGGAAACUAGCAGGCUAGAAUACGGUAGGGGCAGGGGGAAUUCCCGGUGUAGCGGUGAAAUGCAUAGAUAUCGGGAGGAACACCAAAGGCGAAGGCACCCUGCUGGGCCGAUAUUGACACUGACAGACGAAAGCUAGGGGAGCAAGGAGGAUUAGAUACCCCUGUAGUCCCUGUCUCUUAUAC